GACGAACGCUGGCGGCGUGCUUAACACAUGCAAGUCGAACGGAAAGGCCCUGCUCUUGUGGGGUGCUCGAGUGGCGAACGGGUGAGUAACACGUGAGUAACCUGCCCCUGACUUUGGGAUAACUUCAGGAAACUGGGGCGAAUACCGGAUAGGAUCUCCUGCUGCAUGGUGGGGGUUGGAAAGUUUCGGCGGUUGGGGAUGGACUCGCGGCUUAUGAGCUUGUUUGUGAGGUAGUUGCUGACCAAGGUUUCGACGGGUAGCCGGCCUGGGAGGCUGACCGGCCACAUGGGGACUGAGAUACGGCGCAGAAGCCUACGGGAGGCAGCAGUGGGGAAUAUUGCACAGUGGGCGGAAGCCUGAUGCAGCGACGCCGCGUGCGGAAUGCCGGCCUUCGGGUUGUAAACCGAUUUGGACUGAGACGAAGCGUGAGUGACGGUAAUGGGUAAAGAAGCACCGGCUAACUACGUG
This 468-nucleotide ribosomal RNA is filed under the name uncultured bacterium. RNAcentral's name for it is "partial 16S ribosomal RNA". It matches the Rfam family "Bacterial small subunit ribosomal RNA", at positions 28 to 507 of the family's 1533-position model. The record is from RNAcentral.